RNAcentral lists this ribosomal RNA (1012 nucleotides) under Diversispora versiformis. RNAcentral's name for it is "eukaryotic LSU rRNA". It matches the Rfam family "Eukaryotic large subunit ribosomal RNA", at positions 1 to 868 of the family's 3401-position model. Lineage: Eukaryota; Fungi; Glomeromycota; Glomeromycetes; Diversisporales; Diversisporaceae. The record is from RNAcentral.
ACCUCAGCUCAAGCAAGAAAACCCGCUGAACUUAAGCAUAUCAAUAAGCGGAGGAAAAGAAACUAACAAGGAUUCCCCUAGUAACGGCGAGUGAAGAGGGAAAAGCUCAAAUUUUAAAUCUACCUGGUUCCCAGGUCGAAUUGUAUUUUGAAGAAUCGAUAUCGGUGUUGAGGUCUGGUUCAAGUUCUUUGGAACAAGACAUCAUGGAGGGUGAGAAUCCCGUGCAUGAUCAGACCAAGAUACUUAAUAUUCGUUUUCUAAGAGUCGAGUUGUUUGGGAAUGCAGCUCAAAUUGGGUGGUAGACUUCACCUAAGGCUAAAUAUCAGCGAGAGACCGAUAGCGAACAAGUACUGUGAAGGAAAGAUGAAAAGCACUUUGAAAAGAGAGUUAAAUAGUACGUGAAAUUGUUGAAAGGGAAACGAUUGAAGUCAGUCAUGCUAGUGAAAAUUCAGUUUGACGGGUUUUGGGUUUAGGAGUAAGAGAUAGGGUCAAACCGUCUCUCUUUUAAACUUGGGAUUUGUCGGAUGCACUUUUUCUUUGGCAGGUCAGCGUCGAUUUCGGGGGUUGUAAAAUACUUGGGGGAAAGUAGCUCUGCUUCGGGAGAGUGUUAUAGACCUUGGGAGAUGCAGCCCGUGGGAUCGAGGAUUGCAGCAAAUGCCUUUGGCUUGUCUUCUGAUCUUUGAUUGUUACCUCGUUUAUGACAACAUUCUUGCCAUCGAUGAGUACUAGUGGUUAUGGGUUAGAAUGAUCAAAAAUUUGCUAAGGAUGCUGACGUAAUGGCUUUAAACGACCCGUCUUGAAACACGGACCAAGGAGUCUAACAUAUGUGCGAGUGUUUGGGUGACAAACCCGGAACGCGUAAUGAAAGUGAAUAUGGGUGGGAUCCUCCUCGUGGGGAGCACCAUCAACCGAUCAGGAUAUUUUUUGAUAGAUUUGAGUAAGAGCACAUCUGUUGGGACCCGAAAGAUGGUGAACUAUGCCUGAAUAGGGUGAAGCCAGAGGAAACUCUGGU